This is a long non-coding RNA of Oxyura jamaicensis (ruddy duck), 371 nucleotides long. RefSeq lists it as uncharacterized. The record is from RefSeq and is a predicted model, not a curated record. Lineage: Eukaryota; Metazoa; Chordata; Aves; Anseriformes; Anatidae. The transcript is spliced from 4 exons.
CUUGAUUUUUUUUUUUUUAAUUAAGAUUGCUGCCAAAACCAUCUCUCCUGUGUUAACAAUACUGAUGGAAUAGAUUGAAAAAGUAGGAUUUUGAAGAAACACUGAAAAUUCUGACAAGCAAGGUACUUCGCUCAUCAGGAGAAAGGGAGCAAAACCAAUUCAAGUGAAGAACAGGAAGAAGAAAUGUCAUUCUGACCUAGGAGAAACUCACUGCUUAUUGAAAGAAGAUAUAUAUGUGAUGAGGCUACACUUAUGUUGGUGUGACCAGACAGAACCAGUAGUGGUUUUGGCUUCCCUAUGCUCCAAGGCAGCCAGGCAGAUUUGGCACUGAAACGGCAAGGAGUUGCAAGACUGAAUUUAAGUCUCUGAUC